CCGACCUUAGCUCAGUUGGUAGAGCGGAGGACUGUAGUGGGGUUUCCUGGUAGAUAUCCUUAGGUCGCUGGUUCGAAUCCGGCAGGUCGGA
RNAcentral lists this transfer RNA (91 nucleotides) under Prunus persica (peach). RNAcentral's name for it is "tRNA tRNA-Tyr". It matches the Rfam family "tRNA". From Rfam's summary of the family: Transfer RNA (tRNA) molecules are approximately 80 nucleotides in length. Their secondary structure includes four short double-helical elements and three loops (D, anti-codon, and T loops). Further hydrogen bonds mediate the characteristic L-shaped molecular structure. tRNAs have two regions of fundamental functional importance: the anti-codon, which is responsible for specific mRNA codon recognition, and the 3' end, to which the tRNAs corresponding amino acid is attached (by aminoacyl-tRNA synthetases). tRNAs cope with the degeneracy of the genetic code in two manners: having more than one tRNA (with a specific anti-codon) for a particular amino acid; and 'wobble' base-pairing, i.e. permitting non-standard base-pairing at the 3rd anti-codon position. The record is from Rfam by way of RNAcentral. Lineage: Eukaryota; Viridiplantae; Streptophyta; Magnoliopsida; Rosales; Rosaceae.